GCAUCUCCAAGAAGGUGGUUGUGCAUCGCUGAAGAUGGUAGCCAAUGUGUUUUGGGAAUCGAAGAUCCAUGCCAAAGAUACCAAAAACACAUGCAGUAGCUGCGAGAUUCCUAAGGAUCCUACGUAGCCUUCUACUACUUCAUCUACUGUUAGUUCUAGCUUUGUUUCUGCAAUUUCUAUGUUGAUUCCAUGCACCAGCUUUUGUGCUUCUUCUCCUUCUUCCUGCUUCAUUUGUAGUGCAAUGCUCUCCCGGUUUAAGGGCUUUGUUUUGGC
This 273-nucleotide unclassified non-coding RNA is filed under the name Hevea brasiliensis (rubber tree). The record is from RNAcentral. Lineage: Eukaryota; Viridiplantae; Streptophyta; Magnoliopsida; Malpighiales; Euphorbiaceae.